This 502-nucleotide long non-coding RNA is filed under the name Aplysia californica (California sea hare). Its description in RNAcentral is "uncharacterized LOC101850832, transcript variant X5". The record is from RNAcentral. Lineage: Eukaryota; Metazoa; Mollusca; Gastropoda; Aplysiida; Aplysiidae.
CAUGUACUAGAUCGACUAGAUAUAUCUAGAUCUAGAUCUAAACCUGAAAAUCAACUCAGACAUUGGUCUACGAUUGUAAUUCAACUCAACUACGAGAACUUCUACUUCCCCUCCAUCAUCAGCCAAACCGUUAGAUCUAUAUAUAUAUAAUCUCCAUUGAAGUCUAAGAAUUCCUCGUCCAAUGAUGAUCCCAGCACUGGCCCGUGCGUCUCUUCACCGGCCACCUUCCCAGUCGCUGCUACAGUUGGAGCCUCGCUGUCAGAAAAUGGGAGGACCAGAGACAGUUUCCAACAGUUCACAAGACUCUUUAAACAACUGCUAAAACUACCAAAGGAUGGCACUUGUACAUUUUUACUCCUACAUAAAAUUGUUUGAUCAUUCUGAGAUAGUGCAGUCUAGGGUCUAUCCCACACUGUUCUCAGAUAAUGUAUGCGAAUGUUUGUGAAAGAUUGUGUUUUAGAUUUAUUUGAAUAAACUUCAAGACAGGACUUAACAGAAGUUG